This 403-nucleotide ribosomal RNA is filed under the name uncultured bacterium. RNAcentral's name for it is "bacterial SSU rRNA". It matches the Rfam family "Bacterial small subunit ribosomal RNA", at positions 355 to 775 of the family's 1533-position model. The record is from RNAcentral.
UGGGGAAUAUUGGACAAUGGGCGAAAGCCUGAUCCAGCAAUACCGCGUGAAUGAUGAAGGCCUUAGGGUUGUAAAGUUCUUUUAGCAGGGAAGAUAAUGACGGUACCUGCAGAAAAAGCCCCGGCUAACUCCGUGCCAGCAGCCGCGGUAAGACGGAGGGGGCUAGCGUUGUUCGGAAUUACUGGGCGUAAAGAGCGCGUAGGCGGUUUAGUAAGUUGGAAGUGAAAGCCCGGGGCUUAACCUCGGAAUUGCUUUCAAAACUGCUAAGCUAGAGUGUAGUAGGGGAUGAUGGAAUUCCUAGUGUAGAGGUGAAAUUCUUAGAUAUUAGGAGGAACACCGGUGGCGAAGGCGGUCAUCUGGGCUACAACUGACGCUGAGGCGCGAAAGCGUGGGGAGCAAACAG